UGUCUUAUUCCCUCAUGGUGUA
RNAcentral lists this non-coding RNA (22 nucleotides) under Rattus norvegicus (Norway rat). The record is from RNAcentral. Lineage: Eukaryota; Metazoa; Chordata; Mammalia; Rodentia; Muridae.